RNAcentral lists this ribosomal RNA (518 nucleotides) under uncultured bacterium. Its description in RNAcentral is "bacterial SSU rRNA". It matches the Rfam family "Bacterial small subunit ribosomal RNA", at positions 9 to 526 of the family's 1533-position model. The record is from RNAcentral.
GAGUUUGAUCCUGGCUCAGGACGAACGCUGGCGGCGUGCUUAACACAUGCAAGUCGAACGAGAAUCUACUGAAGGAGGAUUCGUCCAACGGAAGUAGAGGAAAGUGGCGGACGGGUGAGUAACGCGUGAGGAACCUGCCUUGAAGAGGGGGACAACAGUUGGAAACGACUGCUAAUACCGCAUAAGCCCACGGGUCGGCAUCGACCAGAGGGAAAAGGAGCAAUCCGCUUUGAGAUGGCCUCGCGUCCGAUUAGCUAGUUGGUGAGGUAACGGCCCACCAAGGCGACGAUCGGUAGCCGGACUGAGAGGUUGAACGGCCACAUUGGGACUGAGACACGGCCCAGACUCCUACGGGAGGCAGCAGUGGGGAAUAUUGCACAAUGGGGGAAACCCUGAUGCAGCGACGCCGCGUGGAGGAAGAAGGUCUUCGGAUUGUAAACUCCUGUUGUUGGGGAAGAUAAUGACGGUACCCAACAAGGAAGUGACGGCUAACUACGUGCCAGCAGCCGCGGUAAUUC